Molecule: ribosomal RNA, 253 nt
Filed under: uncultured bacterium
Lineage: Bacteria
Description: partial 16S ribosomal RNA
Rfam family: Bacterial small subunit ribosomal RNA
Source: RNAcentral
UACGAGGGGUGCUAGCGUUAUUCGGAAUUACUGGGCGUAAAGGGUGCGUAGACGGCGCAUUAAGUCUGUUGUUAAAUCCUCCGGCUCAACCGGAGAUCAGCGAUAGAAACUAAUGUGCUUGAGGAUGGAAGAGAGAAGUGGAAUUCUCGGAGUAGCGGUAAAAUGCGUAGAUCUCGAGAGGAACACCAAUGGCGAAGGCAGCUUCUUGGUCCAUUUCUGACGUUGAGGCACGAAAGCGUGGGGAGCAAACAGG